Molecule: ribosomal RNA, 458 nt
Filed under: uncultured bacterium
Lineage: Bacteria
Description: partial 16S ribosomal RNA
Rfam family: Bacterial small subunit ribosomal RNA
Source: RNAcentral
CCUACGGGAGGCAGCAGUGAGGAAUAUUGGUCAAUGGGCGAGAGCCUGAACCAGCCAAGUCGCGUGAGGGAGUACUGCCCUAUGGGUUGUAAACCUCUUUUGUCGGGGAGCAAAAGCCGGACGUGUCCGGCUGUGAGAGUACCCGAAGAAAAAGCAUCGGCUAACUCCGUGCCAGCAGCCGCGGUAAUACGGAGGAUGCGAGCGUUAUCCGGAUUUAUUGGGUUUAAAGGGUGCGCAGGCGGAUUUUUAAAUCAGCGGUAAAAUCGUGGGGCUCAACCCCAUCCAGCCGUUGAAACUGGGGAUCUAGAGUGUGCGAGAGGUAUGCGGAAUGCGUGGUGUAGCGGUGAAAUGCAUAGAUAUCACGCAGAACCCCGAUUGCGAAGGCAGCAUACCGGUGCACAACUGACGCUCAGGCACGAAAGCGUGGGUAUCGAACAGGAUUAGAUACCCGUGUAGUC